Molecule: long non-coding RNA, 1672 nt
Filed under: Homo sapiens (human)
Lineage: Eukaryota; Metazoa; Chordata; Mammalia; Primates; Hominidae
Description: HSALNT0291658
Source: RNAcentral
AGACACAAAAAGGUAGGCAAGGACCAGAUCCCACAGGGCCUCGGAGACUGCGUCAGUGCAUCUGGCUUUCAUUCCAAGAAGGCUUGGAAGGGUCCUAAGCAGGGAAAUGACACAAUCCAACGUUUAUCCUAAGAAGACCAUGAAAGAAAGCGGGGCAAGAACAAAUGUCAGGAGACCAGGACCUCACAGGCACCACGGCGCCCCCUGCCCUGCCCUGCCCUGAAGCAGUUCCAGGAACGUCAGAUGGUAAGAGAAGAAACGACUUACAAACGUCAAGUCCAUUUUACAGAUGGAAAAUCUGAAGCUCAGAUAGGAGAAAAGACUUGCCCAAGUGCCUGGUAUGAAGAGAAAGACUUUAUAAUGUCCCUUUCAGACAGAAGGAAGUAGAGUGGCCGGCCCUGAAGCCCAAGUUAACCUGCUUCCCCUGCGCUCUCUACUUCUAGAGCAAUGGUUUUAAACUUGGGGCGAUUUUGCCCCCCAGGGAACAUUCGACCAUGUCUGGAGACAUUUUUGGUUUUCCCAACGAGGAGGUUGCUACUGGCGUCUCAUGAGAAGAGACCAGGGAUGCUGCUACACGCCUUCAAUGCACAGGACAGCCCCUGCGCCAGAGAAUUGUCAGGCCCGAAAUGUCAGCAGGUUUCUGAGGUUGAGAAACUCUGUUCUAGGGCCUGGCAUCUGCCUAUAUAAACUUCCAAAUAGACUCCUGGAGUCCUGGGUUCUUCUGCAGCCCGGGAGGAUACUGUAUGAAGUCUUUCCUAGGGUCGUGCCUGCCCCAACUUGUAUAUUUAACCUUGCUUAGGACUGGUCAGUUCCACUCUUGGGCUCCAGUGUUUUGAAUUCCACCCACUGACAGAGAGGACAGAAUAAUUAAUAUUUGCUGGAGGCAUGUAAAACCAGUAGUCUCCCUGCUGAGGGCAUGAAUUAAAAUGUAAAUGGGAGCUGGGUGCGGUGGCUCAUGCCUGUACCAGUGUUUUGGGAGGCCAAGGUGGGUGGAUUGCUUGAGGCUGGGAGUUCGAGAUCAACCUGGCCAACAUGGUGAAACCCCAUCUCUACUAAAAAUACAAAAAUUAGCCAGGUGUGGUGGCACACAACUAUAGUCCCAGCUACUCGGGAGGCUGAGGUACGAGAAUCACUUGAACCCAGGAGGCGGAGGUUGCAGUGAGCCGAGGUCGCACCACUGCACUCCAGCCUGAGUGACAGGGGGAACUCUGUCUCAAAAAAAAGUAAAUGGGGAGUGGGAAGGUGGGGAGAAAAAGGAAAAUUAUUGGGAUUAAAGGAUCCUCCUGGGGAUUGCUAGGAGGCAUAGUCAUCCUACGCCUUCCCUUCUCACCUGGUCUGUGAGAAGCAUAAACUGAGGCCCUACAAUGUGAAAAGCCUCAAAGUGCGUUCCAUAGCUGGUCAGAGGUGGAGCUGGGGCUCCUGAUUAUAUUUACAUAUUAAUUAAAGCUUUGUUAUCAGCUAUUCUACCUCAGGCCUAGGCCUGGACUAGGGCCUGGGUGGUAGAAUGGGUUACUCUGGAGCAGCAAGGGGGACUAGAUUAGGGGAGGUGGGAUGGAGGCCAGGGCAGGACCUGGAACGAGGGUGGAGGUGAGGGGUGGGAGCACAGAGAGGAAUCAGGCUUCCUGUGUGCUCCUCCCUGGCCCCUUUCACAGAGACAGGUAAACCAGGGGUU